Molecule: ribosomal RNA, 237 nt
Filed under: uncultured bacterium
Lineage: Bacteria
Description: partial 16S ribosomal RNA
Rfam family: Bacterial small subunit ribosomal RNA
Source: RNAcentral
CGAACGGGUGAGUAACGCGUGAGGAACCUGCCUCAAAGAGGGGGACAACAGUUGGAAACGACUGCUAAUACCGCAUAAGCCCACGGCUCGGCAUCGAGCAGAGGGAAAAGGAGUAAUCCGCUUUGAGAUGGCCUCGCGUCCGAUUAGCUAGUUGGUGAGGUAAUGGCCCACCAAGGCAACGAUCGGUAGCCGGACUGAGAGGUUGAACGGCCACAUUGGGACUGAGACACGGCCCAG